This 876-nucleotide ribosomal RNA is filed under the name uncultured Nitrososphaerota archaeon. RNAcentral's name for it is "bacterial SSU rRNA". It matches the Rfam family "Archaeal small subunit ribosomal RNA", at positions 21 to 903 of the family's 1478-position model. Lineage: Archaea; Thermoproteati; Nitrososphaerota. The record is from RNAcentral.
ACCUGACUGCUAUCGGAUUGAUACUAAGCCAUGCGAGUCAUUGUAGCAAUACAAGGCAGACGGCUCAGUAACGCGUAGUCAACCUAACCUAUGGACGGGAAUAACCUCGGGAAACUGAGAAUAAUGCCCGAUAGAACACUAUACCUGGAAUGGUUUGUGUUCCAAAUGAUUUAUCGCCGUAGGAUGGGACUGCGGCCUAUCAGUUUGUUGGUGAGGUAAUGGCCCACCAAGACUAUUACAGGUACGGGCUCUGAGAGGAGUAGCCCGGAGAUGGGUACUGAGACACGGACCCAGGCCCUAUGGGGCGCAGCAGGCGAGAAAACUUUGCAAUGUGCGAAAGCACGACAAGGUUAAUCCGAGUGGUUUGUGCUAAACAGACCUUUUGUUAGUCCUAGAAACACUAACGAAUAAGGGGUGGGCAAGUUCUGGUGUCAGCCGCCGCGGUAAAACCAGCACCUCAAGUGGUCAGGAUGAUUAUUGGGCCUAAAGCAUCCGUAGCCGGCUCUGUAAGUUUUCGGUUAAAUCUGUAUGCUCAACAUACAGGCUGCCGGGAAUACUGCAGAGCUAGGGAGUGGGAGAGGUAGACGGUACUCGGUAGGAAGGGGUAAAAUCCUUUGAUCUAUUGAUGACCACCUGUGGCGAAGGCGGUCUACCAGAACACGUCCGACGGUGAGGGAUGAAAGCUGGGGGAGCAAACCGGAUUAGAUACCCGGGUAGUCCCAGCUGUAAACUAUGCAAACUCAGUGAUGCAUUGGCUUGUGGCCAAUGCAGUGCUGCAGGGAAGCCGUUAAGUUUGCCGCCUGGGAAGUACGUACGCAAGUAUGAAACUUAAAGGAAUUGGCGGGGGAGCACCACAAGGGGUGAAGCCUGCGGUUC